UGGGGAAUAUUGCACAAUGGGGGAAACCCUGAUGCAGCGACGCCGCGUGAACGAAGAAGUAUUUCGGUAUGUAAAGUUCUAUCAGCAGGGAAGAUAAUGACGGUACCUGACUAAGAAGCAUCGGCUAAUUCCGUGCCAGCAGCCGCGGUAAUACGGAAGAUGCGAGCGUUAUCCGGAUUUAUUGGGUUUAAAGGGAGCGUAGGCGGACUAUCAAGUCAGUUGUGAAGUCAUCGGCUCAACCGCUGAAUUGCAGUUGAAACUGGUAGUCUUGAGUGCACAUGAGGAUGGUGGAAUUCGUAGUGUAGCGGUGAAA
Molecule: ribosomal RNA, 313 nt
Filed under: uncultured Lachnospiraceae bacterium
Lineage: Bacteria; Bacillati; Bacillota; Clostridia; Lachnospirales; Lachnospiraceae
Description: bacterial SSU rRNA
Rfam family: Bacterial small subunit ribosomal RNA
Source: RNAcentral